GUUGUAGCUUAGUUGGUUAAAGCGCCAGAUUGUGGCUCUGGAGACCGUGGGUUCGAGUCCCAUCUUC
This 67-nucleotide transfer RNA is filed under the name human gut metagenome. It matches the Rfam family "tRNA", at positions 7 to 64 of the family's 71-position model. From Rfam's summary of the family: Transfer RNA (tRNA) molecules are approximately 80 nucleotides in length. Their secondary structure includes four short double-helical elements and three loops (D, anti-codon, and T loops). Further hydrogen bonds mediate the characteristic L-shaped molecular structure. tRNAs have two regions of fundamental functional importance: the anti-codon, which is responsible for specific mRNA codon recognition, and the 3' end, to which the tRNAs corresponding amino acid is attached (by aminoacyl-tRNA synthetases). tRNAs cope with the degeneracy of the genetic code in two manners: having more than one tRNA (with a specific anti-codon) for a particular amino acid; and 'wobble' base-pairing, i.e. permitting non-standard base-pairing at the 3rd anti-codon position. The record is from RNAcentral.